AUUGAACGCUGGCGGCAGGCCUAACACAUGCAAGUCGAACGGUAACAGCAAGCAGCUUGCUGCUUUGCUGACGAGAGGCGGACGGGUGGGUGAUUUCUUGACGACUGCAUGAUGUAGCGGGUUAACUACUGGAAACGGUAGAAGUUACCGCAUAACGUCGAAAGAACACUGGGGGGGCCCUACGGGCGUCUUGCACUCGGCUGUGCCCCGAUGGGAUUAGCUUGUUGGUGAGGUAACGGCUCACCAAGGCGACGAUCCGUAGCUGGUCUGAGAGGAUGACCAGCCACACUGGAACUGAGACACGGUCCAGACUCCUACGGGAGGCAGCAGUGGGGAAUAUUGCGCAAUGGGCGCAAGCCUGACGCAGCCAUGCCGCGUGUAUGAAGAAGGCCUUCGGGUUGUAAAGCACUUUCAGCAGGGAGGAAGGGAUGAAGUUGAAUACCUUGACUCAAGGACGUUACCCGAAGAAGAAGCACCGGCUAACUCCGUG
RNAcentral lists this ribosomal RNA (490 nucleotides) under uncultured bacterium. RNAcentral's name for it is "partial 16S ribosomal RNA". It matches the Rfam family "Bacterial small subunit ribosomal RNA", at positions 30 to 507 of the family's 1533-position model. The record is from RNAcentral.